Felis catus (domestic cat) is the source of this 73-nucleotide non-coding RNA. The record is from Rfam. NCBI's taxonomy places the organism in Eukaryota, Metazoa, Chordata, Mammalia, Carnivora, Felidae.
GCCUGGUUGGCUCAGUUGGUAGAGCAUGUGAGUCUUGAUCCUGAGGUCGUGAGUUCAAGCCUCACAUUGGGCU